Oncorhynchus nerka (sockeye salmon) is the source of this 565-nucleotide long non-coding RNA. RefSeq lists it as uncharacterized. The record is from RefSeq and is a predicted model, not a curated record. NCBI's taxonomy places the organism in Eukaryota, Metazoa, Chordata, Actinopteri, Salmoniformes, Salmonidae. The transcript is spliced from 3 exons.
AGUGAGACCAGACCUGACAGGAGAGGCGAGGACUGAAUUCCAGACAUAGUUACACCGGAGAUGGAGUUGAAAAGAGGACACUGAUGGACUGAGGAGGACAACACUUGUGGACUGAGGAGGAUGACAAUGUAGACAUGUCACCUGUACACCAGGCAGUGUCGUGGAAUAUUCUAAUCAACAGUCAGUAGAAGCUGUCCCCACAGUGUCAAGGACAGACAGGGGCUGGAGAGACUGGACAACAUGCUGCUAAGGCUGCAGACAGGGCUGAGGGACAAUCACACCCUCACCCUCACACCUCACAGCCGAGGUGACCUUCAAUGUACUGGAUGACUAUUCUAGAAAUGUUUGGCAUUGUUACUGGAAAGAGAGAAAGUAGGAUAUGACUUGGUUUGUUUGUGUUGCACCAGAAUGCAAGGGCAAGCAGCCAAGGUUGGGUAGGUUACUUUGUAAAUUACAAUUACAGUUUAAUACAUUUAUGCUUUGUCAUAAUGGGGUAAUAUGUGUAGAUUGAUUUCCCAAAAUCAGUAACGUAAUCUGAUUACAUUCUGUUACAUUUAGAUUACAU